GCGCCCGUAGUUCAACUGGAUAGAAUACCGGUCUUCGAAACCGGGGGUUGUAGGUUCGAAUCCUACCGGGCGCACUA
RNAcentral lists this transfer RNA (77 nucleotides) under Blastopirellula sp. RNAcentral's name for it is "tRNA-Arg". It matches the Rfam family "tRNA". From Rfam's summary of the family: Transfer RNA (tRNA) molecules are approximately 80 nucleotides in length. Their secondary structure includes four short double-helical elements and three loops (D, anti-codon, and T loops). The record is from RNAcentral. Lineage: Bacteria; Pseudomonadati; Planctomycetota; Planctomycetia; Pirellulales; Pirellulaceae.